RNAcentral lists this long non-coding RNA (1996 nucleotides) under Heterocephalus glaber (naked mole-rat). RNAcentral's name for it is "lncRNA (ENSHGLG00000036348.1)". Lineage: Eukaryota; Metazoa; Chordata; Mammalia; Rodentia; Bathyergidae. The record is from RNAcentral.
AGGGUCCCCUGCUUCCUGUCCGCGUUCCCACAGCUGCUGAGGGCCACAGCUCCCGCCUGUGCACAGAGGGUCCUUGCUGUGUGUACGAGAUGGUGGCUCCCUGCGCCAUGUGGCAGAUGUUCAGCAUCAGGAAUCAAAACAGCUUUCACACCACGCAGCACAUUCUUCUUCCAGUCCCGUUCAUUUCCUCUCGGUGGGAUGUGGAACAAUUUCUCUCAUCUGUUGCUCACUCAGUGAAACUGAGAAGUGGACAGAGGAGGCCAGAGACCGCAUGGAGCUUCCUGAGUCUUGACAUUCCAAGAAUACCCUCAACUGGUCCUCUCCUUUUUUCGAAAAACGUGACAAGCCUGUAAGACUAAGGGAAAGAGUAAAGCAGUUUCUGUUCAUUGUACGCUGGACAAAUUCCGAGUGGAUUCUGCAAUACUGAAUUAGCAUAGAGGACUUUCUGGAGGGAGAGAAGUGGACACUGUUCUUGACAGCUAUACUCAAUAUAUACUCACUACUUGGAAAAAACCAGGAAAGCAAAUGCACACUGGCAGCUUCUCACUAUGGACCAAUCAAAUGUUUCCCAUUUGAGUCUCGCAGUACUGUGCUCACAUCUUGGGCACUUGUUCUGAUCCAUGCUCCAGCCAUAAUGUGACUCCUUCACCAGAGGCCCAAACAAACAGGGCUGUCUGAUCUUGCACUUAAGCUUCUGGAGCCAUCAGCAAAAAUCAACCUCUCAUUACUUCAUAAGUGGCAUGCAUCAGAAGAAGACUUAAGUCCCACGGUGAGCCAGUGACUUAUCAGUUCAUACUCGCUGGAGUCAGAGGUCAGAAGAACAUAAGCCAACAACCCCUGGUUAUUCUCUGAAAUCUCCAUGAUGGCACUGGCUCUGCACAGGGCAGAGUUAGGAUACAAACCAGUGUGGUGUAGAUGUAUGGGUAGUGACUCUGGUUUACCUCCAGAUACAUUCUUGGGCACCCUAGUUGUCUUUUAUCAGAAAAGCCACAACUGACUCUAAGGCCAGCAUAAGAACAAAAGACAGAAGAAAACAUGGAGUCAGAAACUUGAAGUUACUGCGGGGAGGAAUAUCAGACAUUGAGGUUUCACUAACUGCCAAGCCAUGGGAUGUAACAUCGAAGAAAAUCUAAAAGUGUGUCAUGCCAGCUUGCCCUUCAACUGGAGCUCUGUGAGGCUGGAGCCACAACUGUAUUUCCGGGUAUAUCCCCACUCCUUGUGCUGGUGUGUGGGCACCUUCCCACCCAUCCCAGAAAGGAAGGCGAGGGGACUGAUGCAAUUCGUGGACUGAUCUUCCUAACAACACAAGUCAGCUUCAUGUUGAGCAUUCCUGGAGAACAAAAGUGUUUUUGCUGCCAAGAUGUCAGGUUCUUUUUAGAGAGCUAAAAAUUAUACACAUCAGAAUUUCUAAAAUAAACGCUGAAUCUGAACCUUCCAGGCAGUGUUCUUGUUUUUCUCCCUGAGCUAUCAAAGAACAAAUUUGUUCCUUCCUUUAUUAAUAAGUUUGUUGGAAAUCUGUUGUGCCAGCCCAUGACUAUUUUCCAGGAAAGCAGAUUAAUGCUAGAUUAUGAAAAUAAAUGAUAACAUAUUUACUGUGAGAACUAAUGAUAUCCUGAGUGCUAAGACAGUACACACUGCUUCUUCCAAGACUGGCAGGUAUGUUUCUGAAGUUGACUUCACUUCAGCGGAAGACACUCUGAGCUUACGUGACUGUGGGCUGCCCAACAUUGCAAAGAUACCAGCCUUGGCAGCAGCGUAUUUAGUACAACUCCAGUUGUGGAAACACUACUGUCACAUUAAAGAAAGGAUUCUUCCUGCCGUGUUGACAAGGAGUAGUGGAAUGGCAAGGCACCAGAAACUGUGGAGACCCAUACUCUUGUCUCAUUUCUGUCUUGCCUGCCUGUAGCCAGGUGGUGCUUUGAAGCCAUCCCAGCUUGUUUAUGAAUAACUCUAUGCUACUGGCCUUUGCUUAAAGUCUGCCUUAAGGACUUUUUCU